RNAcentral lists this long non-coding RNA (768 nucleotides) under Cyanistes caeruleus (blue tit). Its description in RNAcentral is "lncRNA (ENSCCEG00000020135.1)". The record is from RNAcentral. Lineage: Eukaryota; Metazoa; Chordata; Aves; Passeriformes; Paridae.
AUGUCACACCUGCACUGUGAAGAACUCAUGGUGACAUUGAGGCCAUUUAAUUUUGGACCAUAUAUUCUUAUUAUGUGGCAGAGACUAAUAACUUUUAACAGUACCACAGGUACUGGGAUAUCCCUUGUUUUGCUUGGGCAGCCUUGGCGAGGGGCAGGAGCUUGUGGGCACACGUGGCUAGUGUGCUUUGUGUGCCUUAUGUGCCUUGCCUCCUGUGGUUUUUGUGCUUUGUGUGCCCUGCGUGUUGGUGGCUCUGGCUCCGAGUCCGGUGUCGCCAUACCCAGCCCUGGUGCCCGGGCUGUGUGCUCUGCGUGUCUGUGCUGUGUCCGUGAGGCUGCGGGGCAUAGCGAGAAGAGUGAGAAGAACUUAAUAAUGGUCAUGAACGUUAAGGCAGUUGGUCUCUUUUCAUCUCUACCCUGUGCACUCUUGUUACACUCCAAGUCCUGGUACUGGGAAAGGAAGAAUUCACUGUAUCUAUGGAGCUAAGGAUUUAUUCUUAAUCCAGGAAUUCCCGUUGAGUGUGCUGACAUCUUGUGGCUGGAUGGAUAUUUCAACAAGUCAUGUGUAUGCUGAGGGGAGGCAAUUCCUGCACAGCAUCUUGGGAUCUCCUGCUCUUCUUGAAGUCUUCAGCCAAAGGCCCCAUGCUGAGAAACAUUUUGAAUUUGACUACACAACAUUGAUUGUUUUUCUUCUUUCUCGGUUGGAUUUUCUUAUUUCACCUCAAGCCCCAUAAUUUUGGGGGAAAAAUAAAUACAUUUAUUUUCUUCA